GACGAACGCUGGCGGCGUGCUUAACACAUGCAAGUCGAACGGAAAGGCCCUGCUUUUGUGGGGUGCUCGAGUGGCGAACGGGUGAGUAACACGUGAGUAACCUGCCCUUGACUUUGGGAUAACUUCAGGAAACUGGGGCUAAUACCGGAUAGGAGCUCCUGCUGCAUGGUGGGGGUUGGAAAGUUUCGGCGGUUGGGGAUGGACUCGCGGCUUAUCAGCUUGUUGGUGGGGUAGUGGCUUACCAAGGCUUUGACGGGUAGCCGGCCUGAGAGGGUGACCGGCCACAUUGGGACUGAGCUGCGGCCCAGACUCCUCCGGGAGGCAGCAGUGGGGAAUGUUGCACAAUGGGCGGAAGCCUGAUGCAGCAACGCCGCGUGCGGGAUGACGGCCUUCGGGUUGUAAACCGCUUUCGCCUGUGACGAAGCGUGAGUGACGGUAAUGGGUAAAGAAGCACCGGCUAACUACGUG
RNAcentral lists this ribosomal RNA (468 nucleotides) under uncultured bacterium. RNAcentral describes it as "partial 16S ribosomal RNA". It matches the Rfam family "Bacterial small subunit ribosomal RNA", at positions 28 to 507 of the family's 1533-position model. The record is from RNAcentral.